CGGGACGGGUGAGUAAUGUCUGGGAAACUGCCUGAUGGAGGGGGAUAACUACUGGAAACGGUAGCUAAUACCGCAUAACGUCGCAAGACCAAAGAGGGGACCUUCGGGCCUCUUGCCAUCGGAUGUGCCCAGAUGGGAUUAGCUAGUGGGUGGGGUAACGGCUCACCUAGGCGACGAUCCCUAGCUGGUCUGAGAGGAUGACCAGCCACACUGGAACUGAGACACGGUCCAG
RNAcentral lists this ribosomal RNA (232 nucleotides) under uncultured bacterium. RNAcentral's name for it is "partial 16S ribosomal RNA". It matches the Rfam family "Bacterial small subunit ribosomal RNA", at positions 100 to 334 of the family's 1533-position model. The record is from RNAcentral.